RNAcentral lists this non-coding RNA (114 nucleotides) under pig gut metagenome. RNAcentral describes it as "FMN riboswitch (RFN element)". It matches the Rfam family "FMN riboswitch aptamer (RFN element)". Rfam says of the family: The RFN element is a highly conserved domain that is found frequently in the 5'-untranslated regions of prokaryotic mRNAs that encode for flavin mononucleotide (FMN) biosynthesis and transport proteins. This element is a metabolite-dependent riboswitch that directly binds FMN in the absence of proteins. The record is from RNAcentral.
UUGUCUUCGGGGCGGGGUGCGAUUCCCCACCGGCGGUAUAGUCCGCGAGCGGCUUCGGUCGCAGGAACCGGUGCGAUUCCGGUACCGACAGUAUAGUCUGGAUGAGAGAAGGCG